UCUUUCAGGCCUUUCCCAAUAACUGUACAAGAAUGCAGAAUGAAUCAGAACAGUCAUUUACAUUUCAUUUGAAUGCAGGUAGUAUGUUUUGUGCUAAAGCCUUGGCCUUACCUCUUACCGUGGAAUUUAACUUUGGAACAACUGUACAGAAAGACCAAUCCUGUAGCAAUGCUUUCCCCAUAGCAAGUAUUGCCGAGCAUGUGAAAGAUAUGUCACCAAACCUUGCCUUUUACAUACGAAUAGAAGAACAACAUAUGUGUUAUCAAUGAGGUUUAAGUACAUGGGAAAAUUACCCUCUAUUUACAUCACAGCUGUUUCUGAGCCUGCUGCAGCUCUGGUGUCAUGGGCAAACUGGACUCGAGGUACACUGAAGCAGGACAAAUAAGGAUCACUUUCAUGUGCACAAACAGUACAGAAAGAAGUGAAGUUGAAGAAGUGUUCCUAGUAAAACACAGAGGCCUCAGGUUGUGAAAUAACAGAUCCUUACAGAUUCUUUUGUGUGGUAGUGUGUUGCUAAGUUUCUUGUGUUAUUCCCCCAAUUUAUGUAUUGUUCUCCCCUAUUA
This 563-nucleotide long non-coding RNA is filed under the name Zonotrichia albicollis (white-throated sparrow). RNAcentral's name for it is "lncRNA (ENSZALG00000016166.1)". Lineage: Eukaryota; Metazoa; Chordata; Aves; Passeriformes; Passerellidae. The record is from RNAcentral.